This 288-nucleotide ribosomal RNA is filed under the name uncultured bacterium. RNAcentral's name for it is "partial 16S small subunit ribosomal RNA". It matches the Rfam family "Bacterial small subunit ribosomal RNA", at positions 379 to 659 of the family's 1533-position model. The record is from RNAcentral.
AAAUCUGACGCAGCAAUGCCGCGUGAGUGAUGAAGGUCUUCGGAUUGUAAAGCUCUGUUGAGUGGGAAGAAAAAUUCCGAUCCUAAUCAGUCGGGAUCUGACGGUACCGCUCGAGUAAGCCCCGGCUAACUACGUGCCAGCAGCCGCGGUAAUACGUAGGGGGCAAGCGUUGUUCGGAAUCACUGGGCGUAAAGGGAGCGUAGGCGGGAUCGUAAGUUAGAAGUUUAAUUCGCAGGCUUAACCUGCGUGUGGCUUCUAAUACUGCGGUUCUUGAGUAUGAAAGAAGGA